RNAcentral lists this unclassified non-coding RNA (2061 nucleotides) under Apis florea (little honeybee). RNAcentral describes it as "protein FAM76A, transcript variant X1". The record is from RNAcentral. Lineage: Eukaryota; Metazoa; Arthropoda; Insecta; Hymenoptera; Apidae.
GUGUGCUGAUUCGUUAGUUUCAAAAGGAAAAGGUCAAAGAGGACAUAUUCUACGAGGAAUGUUUACACUACUGUGUUAACGCCAAUUUAACCAAUUAUUAAUCAGUUCUCUUAGUCAGGAAAAGAAUGAUUGGUUUGUAACAUAUUUUGUUGGAUAUGUAUAAGAAGAUGAAAGCGACAUCUACUCGUUAAUGUGAACAAGUAAAAACGUAAGAAGUCACAGAUGGCUGUCUCAAAUCAACAACCGGUGCAGUGAACGAGCGAAGUGACGCGGUUAUGUACGCAAAACAAUCGCGUCAGACGCGUAAAACAUCGUGAAACAUGUAAGGAGUUGUUAUCGUAAGUGCCAUCGUGUUGAAUUUUACGUUUCUUUUUGUUUCACAAUACGGCCGAUUACUAGUGAAAGCAAAAUUUGGCUCGAUCCGCCGUUAUCUUUACGAAUUGGUUUUAUCGUCGGUGACGUACGGUUUUGGGGCACCGAGGCCAAACACGAAUCGCUGUUCAAGGAUGAGCGCGAACAAUGUGCAAGCACUUUUCGCAUGUUCAAGAUGCUUUUCAAGGCAUCCUUUUGAAGAACUUUCUCCAGGGCAACAAUUGUGUAAGGAAUGCAGAGGUGCAUUUCCUGUGGUGAAAUGUACAUAUUGUAGAUCAGAAUUCCAACAAACGAUAAAGGGUAAUACAAGCACUAUUUGUAAGAAAUGUGAACAAAAUGUGAAAUCUUAUGGUAAGCCAUCGGCCUGUGAAUAUUGCAAUACCAUAGCUGCAUUUAUUGGUAGUAAAUGUCAAAGAUGUACAAAUUCUGAGAAGCGUUAUGGGCCACCAGUUACUUGCGAACAAUGCAAACAAAAGUGUGCCUUUGACAGACAAGACGAAGACAAGAAGGUUGAUGGAAAAUUAUUAUGUUGGCUGUGUACAUUGUCAUACAAACGAGCAUUGGCAAAAACAAAACAAUCCGAUGCUGAAAGGAGGGCACAUUUGAAAUUAGCACAACAACGAGCAGCAAAGCACAAAGAACAAAAAUUAAAGAGUCACAAUAAGAGACCACACAGAGUAGAUGUGACGAAGCUACCGCCUCAGUCCGAAGGUGCGGACACAAAUGGUCCAACACCGGUGAAAGCAGCGCGAAUGGUUGGUGUUCAUGAUCCACAUGAUCCCAAUAGUUCGGAUCAUGUAGUCGCGGUUACACAACUUAAAGAAAAGAUAGCUCAUCUUCAAAAACAAAUAUCUAUUAAAGAUGGGCAAUUACUUGCUAAAGAUAGACAAAUUACAGAAUUGAAAGCAAAAAAUUUUACAUCAGAAACAGAGCUACGUAAUAAAAUGAAAGCGACAGAAAAAGAGUACGAAGCUAAAAUAUCGACGAUGCAACACAAGAUUUCCAGUUUGCUGAAAGAAGUUGCUUCCUUAUCGAAGAGUUCUAAGCGAGGUGAUAGAGUAGCUGCCACAAAAACAGAAGCUGGGACCAACAGUGGAAGCGGAACAGACAGUCCUGUACCUUGAUAAGGGACUUGGUUAGCCGUGACAACAUACUCAAAUGUCCAUACCCGCAUAAAUCAUGUGGAAUAUAUAUUGUCUUCGACGUGUACACGGAAAAUCAUACACGUUCUUCUUAAGGGGGAUGAUGAUGAUGAUGAUGAUGAUGAUGAUGAUGAUGAUGACGAUGAUGCAAGUGCAAAGAAAGGUGUUAUUCAUAAGUUAGGUAGUUUCCCUCUUUCUGUUCCGUUUCAUGACCAUCCCGCAAACGCGAAUUUUUGAGACUAAAUAUCGUGAAAAAUUUGUUUAUAUUACGAAGAAACCGCCAUUUCGAAAUCGAAUUGUACAAUAAUGAAUCGGAGAGGCAUUUGAUCUCCGAUAGAAGUGAUUUUUAAAUUAAAAUUUACGAUCGAAGUUGAUACUUGCGAGAAAUGAACAGAGUUAUAUGCAGACACAUAUACACAUACACACACUAUAAUUGAGCAAUAGUGCUGCUGUAACAUUUUCCUAUCUAUAACGAUGAAGAUGUAACGACGAUGAACCAGGAUAUGGUGAUUGUAGAUCAAUUUACAAUAAAAGGUUAAAAACGAUA